Molecule: microRNA, 22 nt
Filed under: Gallus gallus (chicken)
Lineage: Eukaryota; Metazoa; Chordata; Aves; Galliformes; Phasianidae
Description: gga-miR-1578
Source: miRBase by way of RNAcentral
UGUGCCGUUCUGACACAGCUCU